Molecule: long non-coding RNA, 1466 nt
Filed under: Astyanax mexicanus (Mexican tetra)
Lineage: Eukaryota; Metazoa; Chordata; Actinopteri; Characiformes; Acestrorhamphidae
Description: lncRNA (ENSAMXG00005024319.1)
Source: RNAcentral
CAGGAGGGUUCAGCACGAGUACCUCGAGGGGAAGUUAAGGGCCCUCAGGGAGAAGGGGAGAAAAGAAAAAUGAAUUAAUAUGCAGAGAAGCAUCACAGUCAUACAGCUGCUUCCAAAACCACAUACCACCUUAAAUCUGUGAAAUAUCUAUGUUGUAUGUACUGUAAGGUACAUGAGUCUUCAAAGUCUUUAUCUUAUACGCCCUUGCAGCUUCCCCGUCCCAGGCAGCGUGCUGGUAGAGUCCUGGUGCCGGUUAGGGAGGCAGACCCCGCCCACAGGCUGGACUCUACUAAGACUGGUAUCCAAGGUCCAGUUAUACAGGUAAGAGUUUGCAGUUAGUCCUAUAUAAGCUCUGCCUCUCUACUAGAUUCUAAUGAUUAAAGAUCUACAGUUCAGGAGAAAACCUGUUCAUUUCUUCCCCUGUUUCUUCCAGGCUGUGUAUGGCUUGGAUCACGUGGAGGACCAUGGAGGACAGGUCAGAGUUCAGUUUUAUUUAACCCAAGAUUUUUGUCAAUUGUCUGGCUGACAUCACUAAUUAUUAAGUGGAGUAGAGAGUGAACAGGCAGCCUCUCCAAGUGUCCUGUAGGAGAUUUUAAAGUCCUCAAAUUUUCAGAAUGUAAAUAAGUUAUUUUAUUGCAGAAAAAAGGGUUUUGUAUCACCUGCACCUGUAGCCCGUAUACGAGACAAGGCAUUUUAAGGGAUUAAAGCAGCACAUAUAAGAAGCUGUGAGAUCUGUUUUGAACCAUUAAACCUCAAAAUCCAUUUGGAUGCUUAAGAUAUUUUGCUUUAUUUUUUAUAUUUUUACUAUUUAUUAAUGUUUUAGUAAAGUAUUUCUGCUCCUGUGUACCUGGUUAUCCCAUUGCUGUUGUAACAAAACAUUCCCCAUUGUGGGACUAAUAAAGAAUGAUCUUAUCUCAUCUUGUUUUGUUUUUUUUAUUGACAGUGCCAAGAAGCUCCAGCUCCAGACCUCACCACCACCUCUCAUCCGGAGCCAUCCAGGCAGGGAGACACUGCACUGUCACCCACUAUUAACACACAGGGAAGAACCCUUAAACGCCUCACCACCAACUUUAGGACGUCCACUGUGUCUCGUUGCAGGUCUCCUCGCCGAGUCCUGGUGCGUGUUCAAGAGGCAGAACCUUGUCACAGGCUGGAGCUUCAGGACACAACGCCUGAACUGGAGCCAGUGCCAGCUGCACAGGACAAGGAUGACCUGGAGGUCCUGGAGGGCUGUGAAGAGCAACGAGAGACAGCUCCAAAGAGAAAGGUCAGAUUUCAGUGUUACUUAAAGCAAAAGGAUCAGUAUAGAAUCUUAUAAAUCUGCUGUUUUGUUGUGCUGUAUUGCUUAUGCACGUAUAUGCAAUGUCUGUAUGUCGAUGUUUUUUUACACCAUUUGUUACUUAAUUCUGUUUUCUUUUAUUUCUUUCCAUGCAGAGAGGAUGGCUACAGCACCUGCUCAGCUGCUU